RNAcentral lists this ribosomal RNA (463 nucleotides) under uncultured bacterium. RNAcentral describes it as "bacterial SSU rRNA". It matches the Rfam family "Bacterial small subunit ribosomal RNA", at positions 335 to 788 of the family's 1533-position model. The record is from RNAcentral.
ACUCCUACGGGAGGCAGCAGUGGGGAAUAUUGCGCAAUGGACGAAAGUCUGACGCAGCGACGCCGCGUGGAGGAUGUAAGGUUUCGGAUCGUAAACUCCUGUCAAGAGGGAAGAAACCUAUUACGAAUAAUACUCGUAGUAAUUGACGGUACCUCUAGAGGAAGCACCGGCUAAUUCAGUGCCAGCAGCCGCGGUAAUACUGAAGGUGCAAGCGUUAAUCGGAAUCACUGGGCGUAAAGCGCUCGUAGGUGGUCUUUGUAAGUCAGGUGUGAAACGCCCACGGCUCAACCGUGGAAUUGCACUUGAUACUGCAUCGCUAGAGUAUAGGAGAGGGAAGUGGAAUUUCUGGUGUAGGAGUGAAAUCCGUAGAGAUCAGAAGGAACACCCGUGGCGAAGGCGACUUCCUGGACUAUUACUGACACUGAGGAGCGAAAGCGUGGGAGCAAACAGGAUUAGAUACCCC